CCAAUAGCGUAUAUUAAAGUUGUUGCAGUUAAAAAGCUCGUAGUUGAAUUUCGGGAUCAAUAUGCUGGUCGUGCCAUUGGUACGUACUAGUAUUAUUGGUUUCUCCUUUCUGAUGAAUCAUGAUGUCAUUAAUUUGAUGUCAUGAGGAAUCAGGACUGUUACUUUGAAAAAAUUAGAGUGUUUAAAGCAGGCUCGCGCUUGAAUACAUUAGCAUGGAAUAAUGAAAUAGGAUGUUUGAUUCUAUUUUGUUGGUUUCUAGGAUUGACGUAAUGAUUAAUAGGGAUAGUUGGGGGCAUUAGUAUUCAAUUGUCAGAGGUGAAAUUCUUGGAUUUAUUGAAGACUAACUACUGCGAAAGCAUUUGCCAAGGAUGUUUUCAUUAAUCAAGAACGAAAGUUAGGGGAUCGAAGACGAUCAGAUACCGUCGUAGUCUUAACCAUAAACUAUGCCGACUAGGGAUCGGAUGAUGUUAAUUUUUUAAUGACUCAUUCGGCGCCUUACG
This 500-nucleotide small RNA is filed under the name uncultured Glomeromycotina. RNAcentral describes it as "SSU rRNA". It matches the Rfam family "Eukaryotic small subunit ribosomal RNA", at positions 591 to 1092 of the family's 1831-position model. Lineage: Eukaryota; Fungi; Glomeromycota. The record is from RNAcentral.